UUUUUUGAUUCGCCUUGUGAAGGGGAGAAUCCUACAAUGCGGCCCAUGGUCGUAAUUCCGGCAAAUCGGAAGCGUUCUGGACGCGGGUUCGAUUCCCGCCACCUCCACCUAAGCGCAUUAAAAGCAUCACGAACGUGUUUUUAGGUGGGGGUGCACUGGCUUCGACAGGGCGACGGAGGGUGAGCAGGCGACACGAAAGGCGACGGACGUAAUCCGAGCAAUUUCUCAAACGCCAACGAUGAGCGUUUUGCACUGGCUGCUUAAACAGCCGUGCCGGGGCUGCUAACGCCUUGUAACCCAAGCUAGCCGACGGGGUCUCUCACGAGACCCCGUUGUCA
RNAcentral lists this transfer-messenger RNA (338 nucleotides) under Rhodocyclaceae bacterium. It matches the Rfam family "Betaproteobacteria transfer-messenger RNA". Rfam says of the family: Bacterial tmRNA, also known as 10Sa RNA or SsrA, is named for its dual tRNA and mRNA-like properties. Its role is to liberate the mRNA from a stalled ribosome. To accomplish this part of the tmRNA is used as a reading frame that ends in a translation stop signal. Lineage: Bacteria; Pseudomonadati; Pseudomonadota; Betaproteobacteria; Rhodocyclales; Rhodocyclaceae. The record is from RNAcentral.